GUCUGUUAAACAUUAAAAGCUUCCCUAAACAGGGCUGCCUUCAGAUGUCUUCUAAAACUCUGGUAGUUGUUCUUCUCUCUGUUCCACAGGGCGGGUGCCACUACCGAGGAGGUCAUCUGCUUCUCGCAGUGAGGAAACUGCCAGAAGGCCCUCAACGCUAGACCUCAGUGUCCGGGCAGAACGAUGGAGGUGGAGACGCUCCUUCAGGUAUACUGGACCGAGGCCGUUUAGGGCUUUAAAGGUCAGCACCAACACUUUGAAUUGUGCUCAGAAAUGUAGCUGUCUCACAGUUCCUUCAGAAAUACUGCAUUUUCCUUCAGAGCAGCUUCUAUCUGAUUUUAAAAGCUAAAGUGUGCACAUAUGAGAGAGCUGUUGCACAUGCACAGAUGGCGGCUUGUUGAACAGGAAGUGUGUGUGUGUGCGUGCGCGCGCAUGAACAGGGAAACCAAACAGAUAAAUUGCAUCAAGUGAAGACAUCCCAAUCCCAUCUCCAGUAUGUGCCUCAAGGGCCAAAAGGGAGGUCCUAUUAUCACCACCAAUCAGCUAUAAUAUAAUACUUCUUAAUUACAAUAAUUCAUCAUGCCACUGGCCAGAUUUUGACCCAAAGAUUUCUGCCCCCAAAAGACAACCCCCAAGAUAUUAUGCCCGAGUGAUUCAGCUUGCAGAGAGGCCCCCUUCUCACUGCUGCAUCUCAAUCUCAUGCAACAUGACCUGACUCUUUCUUUUGCCCCACAAACUUCACAAAGGCCAGUGUUGCUCAGACCAUUCUCCCAAAGGACACAGUGCCCUGUCAAAAUCCCAAAGAAACCAACUUCCAGUUUCCAUAAUGAAAGAUAUGGAAAUCUCCCAGAGUGGGACACAUUUAAAAUACCCCCCCACGGGUGAGCAGAAGCCUUCUAGACUCCUUCCCACACAGAAAUAUCCAGUGGUCAGCCCAGAUGGGUGAAGUCGGCACAUUAAGAAUCUGCUACCUGCAGGUCAGCUGUUCACACAGAUUCUUCCAGCUCCUGACACAUGGCCUGUUUAUUUUAGACAGCAAAAUGGCUAAGGUCAUCCCUGGACAUUUAGUAUAAAUGGAAUGACUAGGAAUAGCUCCUCGUUACGGGCUUUAAAUAUGGUGUGCUCCAAUCAGUAUGCAUUAGGGACUAUGGAAGGUAACAGUUGCACCCUUUAACAACAGAAUUCAAGUAGCGCUUGCCAGUAGUAACACGCUUUCAUAAAUGUUUCUUACCUAGUUCGGUGAAUUCUCUCUUGACCGGUAAACUGCCUCCCACUAUAACACACAUGGGGAACCUUUGGCCCUCUACAUGUUACUGAAAUACAAUUCCCAUCACCCCUGGCUGUUGGCUAUGCUUUCUGGAGCUGAGAAGUGUAGUUUAGCAACAUCAGGCUGGGAGGGGGUGUGAUGAAAGGUUCUCCACACCUGCACUAUAACAUCACUUCUAGACACCCUGGUCACUGAGCAUUCAUCCUGAGUUGCAGGGAGGUUAAAGGUAAAGGGUAAAGGGACCCCUGACCAUUAGGUCCAGUCGUGACCGACUCUGGGGUUGCGGUGCUCAUCUCGCUUUAUUGGCCGAGGGAGCCGGUGUAUAGCUUCCUGGUCAUGUGGCCAGCAUGACUAAGCCGCUUCUGGCGAAGCAGAGCAGCACAGGGAAACACCGUUUACCUUCCCACCAGAGAGGUACCUAUUUAUCUACUUGCACUUUGAUGUGCUUUUGAAGUGCUAGGUUGGCAGGAGCAGGGACCAAGCAAUGGGAGCUCACCCCGUUACGAGGAUUCGAACCGCCAACCUUCUGAUCGGAGAGUCCUAGGCUCUGUGGUUUAACCCACAGCGCCACCCACGUCCAUGUCAAAUCAAGCAAAUGUCAGUAUUGUUAUUCUAUCAAAAAAUUCUGGUUUUAAGGAGGGGUGAAGCAUAAAAGUUUCAAACCAACUUAAGUGGGAGAAGGAGAGCCAAGAGCAGGGACUCAUCCAGAGACACAGAAGGCAGCCUCUGCUUAAGGCAGGUUCUUCUGUCGCCUCUUUGCAUAAGGAACGCUCAAGGAAAUGAAUCCCACAAAGCUUUGUCUGCUGUUGGCAGAAGCUGCUGGAUCUGGUUGCUGCUGCCGCUAGUGGUGAACCACCAAACUGAAAUGUCCCGAGUCGUCUUCUUCUUUGGUGAUUACUUGUAGCCGAGUAAGAUUGUCUUCCAUAAACACGGUUUUAACAGUGAGUCCAUAAGUGACUGUAGAGGCCAAUUCUGGAUCCACAUGUCCUUCCAUAGUGGGGACACUGGUUUCCGGGUGGGAGUUGAUCACCAUGUGGAUUUGCCAAGCGUGCCUUCCUCUUAGCACGUUUCUCCCUUGCGUCCUGAGUUCGAGUGUCUUCAAAGCCCAUGACACCUUUGGGAAAGGCAGUUCUCCAACUGGAGCGCUCGCAGGCCAGUGUUUCCCAGCUGUCAGUGUUUCUACUACAUUGUUUUAGAUUUGCUUUGAGACAGUCUUUAAACCUCUUUUGUUGACCACCAGCAUUACACUUUCCAUUUCUAAGUUUGGAAUAGAGUAGUUGCUUUGGGAGACGAUAAUCGGGCAUCUGCACAUGACCAGUCCAACAAAGCUGAUGUUGAAGAAUCAUUGCUUCAACACAGGUGAUCUUUGCUUCUUCCUGUACACUGAUAUUCGCCUGUCUUCCCAAGUGAUGUGUAAAAUUUUUCAGAGACGCCGUUGAUGGACUCUUUCGAGGAGUUGGAGAUGGCGUUUGUAAGUGGUCCAUGUUUUGCAAGCAUAUAGUAAUGCUGGUAGUACAAUAGCUUUGUAAACAAGCAUUUUAGUUUCCCUGCGAAUGUCCCGGUCCUCAAACACUCUGCACUUCAAUCGGGAGAAAGCCACACUCGCUGAACUCAGGCAAUACUGAAUUUCGGCAUCAAUGUUGGCCCUUGUUGAAAGAUAGGUAGGAGAGGUGAUUGACAUUUUCCAACGUUACACCAUUGAGUUGGAUUUGUGGCGCUGUAGGGGGGCUACCGUAUUUUUCGCCCUAUAGGACGCACAUUUUCCCCUACAAAAAUGAAGGGAAAAUGUGUGUGCGUCCUAUGGGGCGAAUGCAGGCUUUCCCUGAAGCCUGGAGAGCGAGAGGGGUCGGUGCGCACCAACCCGUCUCGCUCUCCAGGCUUCAGGAAGCUAUCCGCAAGCCGUGGGAGCCCGGUGCGAAGUCGCGCAGCUCUCCCACGGCUUGCGGGGAGCUGCCUGCAUCCUGAAGCCUGGGGCGCGCUGAGCUCAGCGCGCCCCAGGCUUCGAGCUUCACGCAGCAUUCUGCAAGCCGUGGGAGAGCUGUGCGACUUCGGGCAGAUAUCCGCAAGCCUGGGGAGACCGGUGCGACUUCCCGCCGGGCUCCCUAGGCUUGCGGAUAGCAGCCUGUUCUGGGGGCUGGGGUCGGGGGAAGCUUGGGCUUCCCCCGCCCCAGCUCUGUGCCUGGGAGGAAAUAUUUUUUUUUCCUUAUUUCCCCCCCCAAAAAACUAGGUGCACCAUAUGGGCUGGUGCGCCCUAUGGGGCGAAAAAUACGGUAUUUUGUACUUGUUGGUGCAGCACUUUGGUUUUUUGCAUAAGAACAUUGACAGCUGCACUGAGCCAUAAAGGAAGUGGUGUGCCCUCUUUGCAGAAACGAUAAAGCCAUGCAACCUUACUGCUUAUGUUAUUUCCCCCUGAGCUGCAACUUGUUUUAUUCCACUCGGCCAGCCAGUGGUGACUAGUGAAAACUAAAAUUAGAAUUCUGCCCAAGGGAUACAGAAGUACAAUGUUAACUUAAUAUUUUCCAUUAUGCUACGGCACCAGGAUGAAUCAUCUAAACUGGAUAGGCAAUUGGCAACCCAGGAGUGAAUCCAGCUCUCUGGCCCUUAGCAUAGUUCCCUUCCCUGCUGUUAUGGACCUCAUGCAUUUGCUGCCAAAGGAGCUGAAACAGAGAGUGCUCUUCAACUUCUGCCCAGAAGACACUUUGGCAAAACUCUCCCAUUAAUAAUUCUUAUCAAAAUUUAGGCAAUCCAGCUUGAAGCCAGUCUCUCCAUGGAGCAAUAGGUCAAACGUAGAAGGAAUGUCUCCUAAAGCCUUUCUAGCUAUCCAGCCUAGUGGGAGGUUGCUGAUAGCAGAUAGGCAGGAAAUAAAUCUCUGAUGUCAGUAUGAGAGAUUAUGAAGUGGAUAAAGCUGUAAUUAGAGCCCCCAAGCAAAAGCAGCGCCGCAAUGAACCUUGCAGAAGGGCUGAACGCCAGCAACUUAAGUGGAAAUUCCCAAUCUGUCAAGCUUGUUUUUAGCUCAAUCAUUUUGAGAUUUUAAGCAAUAAUCACACUAAGUGACACAAACUUUUCACUUGAUUGGCUUUGCAUUUUGAUUCCCACCCCUUUCAAUGCACUUUUAUUUUUUUGGCAAGCUGCAAAACUAGAUAGACGGGAAAUUUUAAAAUAAUGUUCUGUUUCCUCACUGCACUUUGUGGUUUUAUCUGGAAUUCUUACUUUGCAGUGAUGUUGGCAUCUCAGCUCUUUCAAUAGAUUGUCAUGCCCUGAAAUAAGAUAAACUUACUUUAUCAGUGUCAGAGGUUUAUGACAUCAUAAGCAUAUAUUUAACACGUGUGACACAUUCUGUUUAAAUGGUGUUCCCCCCAAUACUUCUGUAACAUACACUGUUUUAACCUCUGAUUAUUUCUUUUCCUUAUUUUAGGGCUGCCUCCCCAGUACUUCAGACUUUAGACCGGGGCAGAUCUUCCCGAUGCUGCUGCAAUAAAUCUCCCAUCCAUGUGGAGAGCCAGUGUGGUGUAGUGGUUAAGAGUGUUGGACUAGGACCUGAUGGAGCAGGGUUCGAAUCCUACUCAGCCAUGAAGCUCACUGGGUGACCUUGGGCCAGUCAGCAUCUUAGCCUACCCUAUCUCACAGGGUUGCUGUGAGAAUGAAACUGGGAGGAGAACCAUAUACACCACCCUGAGGUCCUUGGAAGAAAAAAGUGGCAUAAAAAUGUAAUUAAUUUUUUAAAAAUAAAAUAAAACCAUCCCUAACUAUUGGCCACCCUGGAUGGGGUUGAUGGAAGCUGGAGUCCAGCAACAUCUUCUGUUGGGUGUCCUAUGUCGUAAACCGCGCUGUGGUCUCUGGAUGUAGGGCGGUAUAUAAAUUUAAUAAAUAAUAACAACAUCUAUAGGGACACAGGCUCCUAAUCCCCGCUACACACCUUAGUUGAGCUUUAGUCAUGGGCACAA
Molecule: non-coding RNA, 5211 nt
Organism: Podarcis lilfordi (Lilford's wall lizard)
Lineage: Eukaryota; Metazoa; Chordata; Lepidosauria; Squamata; Lacertidae
Source: the annotation of a GenBank genome assembly